GUCAGAAAUGACUGCUAAUACCGCAUAAGACCACAGCACCGCAUGGUGCAGGGGUAAAAACUCCGGUGGUACAGGAUGGACCCGCGUCUGAUUAGCUGGUUGGUGAGGUAACGGCUCACCAAGGCGACGAUCAGUAGCCGGCUUGAGAGAGUGAACGGCCACAUUGGGACUGAGACACGGCCCAAACUCCUAACGGGAGGCAGCAUG
This 207-nucleotide ribosomal RNA is filed under the name uncultured bacterium. Its description in RNAcentral is "partial 16S ribosomal RNA". It matches the Rfam family "Bacterial small subunit ribosomal RNA", at positions 149 to 353 of the family's 1533-position model. The record is from RNAcentral.